This 417-nucleotide ribosomal RNA is filed under the name uncultured bacterium. RNAcentral describes it as "bacterial SSU rRNA". It matches the Rfam family "Bacterial small subunit ribosomal RNA", at positions 30 to 453 of the family's 1533-position model. The record is from RNAcentral.
AUUGAACGCUGGCGGCAUGCCUUACACAUGCAAGUCGAACGGCAGCACGGGAGCAAUCCUGGUGGCGAGUGGCGAACGGGUGAGUAAUGUAUCGGAACGUACCUUUCAGUGGGGGAUAACGUAGCGAAAGUUACGCUAAUACCGCAUAUUCUGUGAGCAGGAAAGCAGGGGAUCGCAAGACCUUGCGCUCUGGAGCGGCCGAUGUCGGAUUAGCUAGUUGGUGGGUAAAGGCCUACCAAGGCGACGAUCCGUAGCGGGUCUGAGAGGAUGAUCCGCCACACUGGGACUGAGACACGGCCCAGACUCCUACGGGAGGCAGCAGUGGGGAAUUUUGGACAAUGGGCGGAAGCCUGAUCCAGCCAUGCCGCGUGAGUGAAGAAGGCCUCGGUUGUAAGACUCUUCGUCGGGAGGAAGUAG